UCAGCAUGAGGCAUUGUGAUUGAGUUUGAGUUUGUGUUGUGAAAUUUUUGUCGUAUCCGUGUUCAUGAAAGUGCGUUGCUGUCCAUAUUUCUCUAUGCUAAGGCCAUUAUUUUUCAUGAAACAAGACACCAUUGUGAUCUACUCGUUCCACACUAGAACUUUGCUUUUUAUACCAUGCCAUUUGGAGCACUGUAGCGAGAGCAAUUCGUUGUGGAAG
Molecule: long non-coding RNA, 217 nt
Filed under: Lathyrus oleraceus (garden pea)
Lineage: Eukaryota; Viridiplantae; Streptophyta; Magnoliopsida; Fabales; Fabaceae
Description: Pisum sativum (pea) long non-coding RNA (PSAT_LNC000720)
Source: RNAcentral